RNAcentral lists this long non-coding RNA (730 nucleotides) under Ananas comosus (pineapple). RNAcentral describes it as "long non-coding RNA (ACOM_LNC010657)". The record is from RNAcentral. Lineage: Eukaryota; Viridiplantae; Streptophyta; Magnoliopsida; Poales; Bromeliaceae.
UAAAAACAAACAGUAAAGGUAAAAUAAUUAUCACAUACAUGAACUCUAAUUAAACUCUGUUAGAAUAAUAAUCCAAACUUAAAUUUCAAUAUAUAUAAUUAGAGAUAAGUUUAAAUCUUUUAUGAUUGGUAUUGAUUUAAGAUUUAUACUUAGGAAUUAACCCUAAUAUUGCCCAGUGUAAUAGAGAGUAUAAUGAGGCCGCAUGAAUUAGUCUUCUAAUUAAUAAAGUAUUAAUUUAGUUUUCUUUCUCCUUCAAUAUUUCUUCUUCAUAUUACUUUGUUAUAUUUUAGAUCUAUAUUAUAUAAUCGAUUUCAACAAUUGGUACUAAAAAAAUCACGCUUCUAAAAAGUCAAAACUUUAUUUUAAUCCAAAAUCUACUCAUAUUGAACUCUUUGUUAGUUAAUUCGCGAAUUAUUAAAAAUUCUAAUUAAACGGUCCAUUUACGAAUUUUUUUCAAAAAAAAUAAAUUAUUCGCGAAUUUUUGGACUAGCCGAAUAAUUCGCAAAUUAUGCGCGAAUUAUUAAAAAUCUGAACAAAAAAUUUAUAAUUUUUAUAUUUAAAUAUAGAUUAUCUUAUAUUUUAUAUCUUAUAUUUUAUAUUGUAUACCGAAUAUAAUUUUUAAACCGAAUUUUUUAACGAAUUUAAAAAUUAGAAUAUAAAUUUUAUGCGUAAUAUAUUCAUAUCGAAUUUUUGUCGAAUCGGAAUUAACUAAAUAUGUUUGAACCAAAUA